RNAcentral lists this long non-coding RNA (1658 nucleotides) under Cricetulus griseus (Chinese hamster). RNAcentral describes it as "lncRNA (ENSCGRG00015032691.1)". Lineage: Eukaryota; Metazoa; Chordata; Mammalia; Rodentia; Cricetidae. The record is from RNAcentral.
CCAUGAGAUAGCUCAGAGGAUAAUGGAGCUUGCUACCAAGUAUUGACUGGCUCAGGUCAGUCCCCAGGACCCACGUGGUGUAAGGGAGAGGACUAACUUGAUCUCCCACAUGCUGAGACACACACAUGUCCACUCACAUAAACACUCACACAAUCAUAAAUACAAUGUUAAAAAAUAUAAAAGAAAUGAGCUGGGCUGUGGUGGCACAUGCCUUUAAUCCCAGCACCCAGGAGGCAGAGGCAAGCAUAUCUCUGUGAGUUCGAGGUCAGCCUGGUCUAUAGAGAUAGUUCCAGGACUGCUAGCACCAUUACACAUAGGAGAAAUCCUGUCUUGAAAAACAAAAACAAACAAAGAAAAGGAAAGAAAGAAAGAAAGAAAGGAAGGAAGGAAGGAAGAAAGAAAGAAAGAAAGAAAGAAAGAAAGGAGAAAAGAAGACAAUAUGAAGAAGCCAGUGAGGAUAUGCAUGCCAUUCUUACUGGUGAGCAGAAUUUCAAUAGAAACAAUGGACAUUCUCUUACAAUGAAUGAUGCUAUGUGUUGAGAUAGUGUCUACAGAAACCAGACCAUUGUAAAAUGCUGAAAAGCUGUUCCUGCUUCUUCUGGAAUUACAGAAAAUAUUUCACUGUAUACUGACUAAUUAUCUUGGUUCCUUUAAUGUUUCCUUUUAUAAAUACACUAUAUGUUAUUACUCCUAUGUAUAGGAUGGUGACAGCAAUGAUGGUGUUACUUAAUUGAUUCCACCCUCUAUUGAAUUCUUCAGGUCUGGCAGAUACAUCACUGGGAGCAGACUGAACCUAUGAGCACCUGCCUCAUGCAUGUGCACACCUCGGUACCUGAUGGGGGAUGUCCUUCUGUAUAUAUGUUUUUCUUAUUGGUUGAUGAAUAAAACACUGUUUGGCCAAUAGAGGCAGGAAGAUAGGCGGGACUAGGAGACGUGGAGAAUUCUGGGAAAGGUAGGAAGAGAGGUGCCGCAGAGGGACGCCAUGUAGUGGAGGAAGGAGUAACAGGUCCAGACCCUUCUCCGGUAAAAUAAGACCAUGUGGAAAUACUUAGAUUAAUAGAAAUGGGUUAAUAAUUAAGACAGAUCUAGCCAAUAAGAAACCCUAACCAUUGGCCACAGUUUUAUAACUAAUAUAGCAUCUUUGUGUGUUCAUUUGGGGCUGAAGUGGCAGGACCUGGUGGGACAAGAAAACUUCAGUUACAAGUACAUGCCUUGCUUGCCUCCGUAUUCUGAGAAGGGCACCCACAGUGCUAACUUACAUAUAGCCCGGAUUUGCCCAUCACAUGAUUAGCUCAGUUAGACAUAUUGGUGUCUAGCUCAGCACCAAGCCUGUGCUGUAUUAGACAGUGUUUUAGCUUUUUGUUUUUGUUUUCCUGUUACUGAAAGACCCCUGCCCCUUAGCCCUUUCUUUCUCAAGUUUGUCUCCUCUUCCUCCUGUCGGCGGCUUCCCCGAUCCCCACCCCCGGCGGCUUCCACUUCCCCCGCCACCCGCCGCACGCCCAGCCCGAGAACGAGCACCAGGUGGGCCGGCACGAGGGCGAGCACCAGGUGGGCCGGCACGAGAACAAACACCAAGUGAGCCGGCCUGGAGCCCUGCCCCUGAGCCCCCGCCCGAUGAGAAACACUCCGUCCCAAGGUCUCCGCCCCCAAGGUCAGCC